RNAcentral lists this ribosomal RNA (437 nucleotides) under uncultured Oscillospiraceae bacterium. RNAcentral's name for it is "bacterial SSU rRNA". It matches the Rfam family "Bacterial small subunit ribosomal RNA", at positions 341 to 792 of the family's 1533-position model. The record is from RNAcentral. Lineage: Bacteria; Bacillati; Bacillota; Clostridia; Eubacteriales; Oscillospiraceae.
ACGGAAGGCAGCAGUGGGGAAUAUUGCACAAUGGGCGCAAGCCUGAUGCAGCGACGCCGCGUGAAGGAAGAAGGUCCUCGGAUUGUAAACUUCUUUUAUCAGGGACGAAGAAAGUGACGGUACCUGAUGAAUAAGCCACGGCUAACUACGUGCCAGCAGCCGCGGUAAUACGUAGGUGGCGAGCGUUAUCCGGAUUUACUGGGUGUAAAGGGCGCGUAGGCGGGGAUGCAAGUCAGAUGUGAAAUCCAUGGGCUUAACUCAUGAACUGCAUUUGAAACUGUAUCUCUUGAGUGUCGGAGAGGUAGAUGGAAUUCCUAGUGUAGCGGUGAAAUGCGUAGAUAUUAGGAGGAACACCAGUGGCGAAGGCGAUCUACUGGACGAUAACUGACGCUGAGGCGCGAAAGCGUGGGGAGCAAACAGGAUUAGAUACCCUGGUA